RNAcentral lists this small nuclear RNA (54 nucleotides) under Prolemur simus (greater bamboo lemur). Its description in RNAcentral is "U5 spliceosomal RNA (ENSPSMG00000009455.1)". It matches the Rfam family "U5 spliceosomal RNA", at positions 11 to 66 of the family's 117-position model. Rfam says of the family: U5 RNA is a component of both types of known spliceosome. The record is from RNAcentral. Lineage: Eukaryota; Metazoa; Chordata; Mammalia; Primates; Lemuridae.
UUCUCUUCAGAUGUAUAAAUCUUUGCCUUUUACUAAAGAUUUCCGUGGAGAGGA